Molecule: non-coding RNA, 102 nt
Filed under: Thermosinus carboxydivorans
Lineage: Bacteria; Bacillati; Bacillota; Negativicutes; Selenomonadales; Sporomusaceae
Also listed under: 1 other name
Description: SAM-I sequence
Rfam family: SAM riboswitch aptamer (S box leader)
About the family: The SAM riboswitch is found upstream of a number of genes which code for proteins involved in methionine or cysteine biosynthesis in Gram-positive bacteria. The SAM riboswitch acts at the level of transcription termination control.
Source: RNAcentral
UACUCAUCAAGAGUUGGUGGAGGGACUGGCCCGAUGAAACCGCGGCAACCAUUUGGCAAGUCCAAAACGGUGCCAAUUCCGGCGUACGGCGCGAGAUGGGGA